UGGCGGACGGGUGAGUAACGCGUGGGUAACCUGCCCUGUACAGGGGGACAACAGCCGGAAACGGCUGCUAAUACCGCAUAAGCCCGCGGCGCCGCAUGGCGCUGCGGGGAAAACUCCGGUGGUACAGGAUGGGCCCGCGUCUGAUUAGCUAGUUGGCGGGGUAACGGCCCACCAAGGCAGCGAUCAGUAGCCGGCUUGAGAGAGUGGACGGCCACAUUGGGACUGAGACACGGCCCAGACUCCUACGGGAGGCAGCAG
This 258-nucleotide ribosomal RNA is filed under the name uncultured bacterium. RNAcentral describes it as "partial 16S ribosomal RNA". It matches the Rfam family "Bacterial small subunit ribosomal RNA", at positions 96 to 354 of the family's 1533-position model. The record is from RNAcentral.